UAGGCGUUAGUCUAAUUUAAGAUGCUUGAUUUCGGCUCACGAGACAGUGGUUAAAACCCACUACCCCUAU
This 70-nucleotide transfer RNA is filed under the name Synodus kaianus (Gunther's lizard fish). RNAcentral's name for it is "tRNA-Arg". It matches the Rfam family "tRNA". From Rfam's summary of the family: Transfer RNA (tRNA) molecules are approximately 80 nucleotides in length. Their secondary structure includes four short double-helical elements and three loops (D, anti-codon, and T loops). The record is from RNAcentral. Lineage: Eukaryota; Metazoa; Chordata; Actinopteri; Aulopiformes; Synodontidae.